Molecule: long non-coding RNA, 527 nt
Organism: Aquila chrysaetos chrysaetos
Lineage: Eukaryota; Metazoa; Chordata; Aves; Accipitriformes; Accipitridae
Exons: 2
Source: RefSeq, a predicted model, not a curated record
CUUGCAACAGUAUCCAGGCUUCAUGCCUUGCUGAAUCCAUAUUUAGUCUCAACAUCUGCAGCGAUGUUCAGCACAGACUUUUAUUCCACUUUGUAGAGCAGCCAUCUGAUGGGUAUUUUCAUACAGGUGGUUUUGGUUCACCAACUCAGAUCCAAAGUAUAGGAUGGACAUCACAACCGGCAAGACACGGCUGGAAUACCCAGUGUAGGAGACCCAACUCAUCCUGGUCAAUCUGAUUCUUGAGAAAAGAAGACUGUGAUGACCAUUGCCAGCUUCUACCUGUUGGAACUGUAGGAAAUGCUGCCACUGCCUGCUGCCUUGAAAAGAAACUGAGUGACCAUAGUAAACCGAUAUGUUGUUCUGGAAAUUAAGCCACCAUUCACUCUCCUGAAAUUGAGAAAACCAGAGUUUUCUGGUUCCAGGCAAUGGAAGAAACAGCUGGUUUGGCAUUGCUUCUGUAAUAUUGGCAAGCCUGUUCUACAGGCUGUUUGCACCUACCAUCAAUAAAAGGCUAAGUGAAACUGCAA